AAAUAGGGAGGCUUUCGAAGGUGAUACACAGGUGCUGCAUGGCCGUCGUCAGCUCGUGUCGUGAGAUGUUGGGUUAAAGUCCCGAAACGAGCGCAACCCCUAUCCUAUGGUUACAAGUGUCUUAGGAAACUGCCUCGGUAAAACGGGAGGAAGGUGGGGAUGACGUCUGGUCCGCAUAGCCCUUAUGUCCUGGGCGACACACGCGCUACAAUGGCCGAUACAAUGGGAAGCCAAAUCGUAAGAUGGAGCAAAUCCUAAAAAGUCGGUCUCAGUUCGGAUUGAGGUCUGAAACUCGACCUCAUGAAGUUGGAUUCGCUAGUAAUCGUGGAUCAGCCAUGCCACGGUGAAUACGUUCUCGGGUCUU
RNAcentral lists this ribosomal RNA (364 nucleotides) under uncultured candidate division WS6 bacterium. RNAcentral describes it as "bacterial SSU rRNA". It matches the Rfam family "Bacterial small subunit ribosomal RNA", at positions 1004 to 1382 of the family's 1533-position model. The record is from RNAcentral.